AUUAACGCUGGCAGUGUGUAUAAUACAUGCAAGUCGAGUGUUUGUAGCAAUACAGACACGGCAGACGGGUGAGUAACACGUUGGUACCUGCCCUGAAGUGAGGGAUAACCCCGCGAAAGCGGGGGUAAUACCGCAUAGUGUCGCAAGACUAAAGCUUCGGCGCUUCAGGAGGGGCCUGCGCAAUAUCAGCUUGUUGGUAGGGUAACGGCCUACCAAGGCUAUGACGUUUAGCUGGUCUGAGAGGAUGAUCAGCCACAAUGGAACUGAGACACGGUCCAUACUCCUACGGGAGGCAGCAGUAAAGAAUCUUCCGCAAUGGGCGCAAGCCUGACGGAGCAACACUGCGUGGAGGAUGAAGGCUUUCGGGUCGUAAACUCCUUUUCUGGGGGAAGAAGUUCUGACGGUACCCCAGGAAUAAGCGACGGCAAACUACGU
This 435-nucleotide ribosomal RNA is filed under the name uncultured bacterium. RNAcentral describes it as "bacterial SSU rRNA". It matches the Rfam family "Bacterial small subunit ribosomal RNA", at positions 29 to 506 of the family's 1533-position model. The record is from RNAcentral.